Molecule: ribosomal RNA, 497 nt
Filed under: uncultured bacterium
Lineage: Bacteria
Description: partial 16S ribosomal RNA
Rfam family: Bacterial small subunit ribosomal RNA
Source: RNAcentral
GAUGAACGCUGGCGGCGUGCCUAAUACAUGCAAGUCGAGCGAACGGACGCGACGCUUGCUUCUCUGAUGUUAGCGGCGGACGGGUGAGUAACACGUGGAUAACCUACCUAUAAGACUGGGAUAACUUCGGGAAACCGUAGCUAAUACCGGAUAAUAUUUUGAACCGCAUGGUUCAAAAGUGAAAGACGGUCUUGCUGUCACUUAUAGAUGGAUCCGCGCUGCAUUAGCUAGUUGGUAAGGUAACGGCUUACCAAGGCAACGAUGCAUAGCCGACCUGAGAGGGGGAUCGGCCGCACUGGAACGGAGACACGGUCCAGGCUCCUACGGUAGGCAGCAGAAGGGAAUCUGCCGCAAUGGGCGAAAGCCUGACGGAGCAACGCCACGUGAGUGAUGAAGGUCUUCGGAUCGUAAAACUCUGUUAUUAGGGAAGAACAGAUGUGUAAGUAACUGUGCACAUCUUGACGGUACCUAAUCAGAAAGCCACGGCUAACUACGUG